RNAcentral lists this ribosomal RNA (433 nucleotides) under uncultured bacterium. Its description in RNAcentral is "partial 16S ribosomal RNA". It matches the Rfam family "Bacterial small subunit ribosomal RNA", at positions 29 to 507 of the family's 1533-position model. The record is from RNAcentral.
AACGAACGCUGGCGGCAUGCCUAACACAUGCAAGUCGAACGAGACCUUCGGGUCUAGUGGCGCACGGGUGCGUAACGCGUGGGAACCUGCCCUUAGGUUCGGAAUAACUCCCCGAAAGGGGUGCUAAUACCGGAUAAUGUCUUCGGACCAAAGAUUUAUCGCCUUUGGAUGGGCCCGCGUUGGAUUAGCUAGUUGGUAGGGUAAAAGCCUACCAAGGCGACGAUCCAUAGCUGGUCUGAGAGGAUGAUCAGCCACACUGGGACUGAGACACGGCCCAGAAUCCUACGGGAGGCAGCAGGGGGGAAUAUUGGACAAUGGGCGAAAGCCUGAUCCAGCAAUGCCGCGUGAGUGAUGAAGGCCUUAGGGUUGUAAAGCUCUUUUACCCGGGAUGAUAAUGACAGUACCGGGAGAAUAAGCUCCGGCUAACUCCGUG